GACGAACCUUGCGAACGUUGUUCGGAAUCACUGGGCUUAAAGGGCGCGUAGGCGGCUUGUCAAGUCAGGGGUGAAAUCCGGCAGCUUAACUGUCGAAGUGCCUUUGAUACUGACGAGCUCGAGGGAAGUAGGGGUCUGUGGAACUUCUGGUGGAGCGGUGAAAUGCGUUGAUAUCAGAAGGAACGCCGGUGGCGAAAGCGACAGACUGGACUUCUACUGACGCUGAGGCGCGAAAGCUAGGGGAGCAAACGGG
RNAcentral lists this ribosomal RNA (253 nucleotides) under uncultured bacterium. Its description in RNAcentral is "partial 16S ribosomal RNA". It matches the Rfam family "Bacterial small subunit ribosomal RNA", at positions 524 to 776 of the family's 1533-position model. The record is from RNAcentral.